This 301-nucleotide ribosomal RNA is filed under the name uncultured bacterium. RNAcentral's name for it is "partial 16S ribosomal RNA". It matches the Rfam family "Bacterial small subunit ribosomal RNA", at positions 509 to 807 of the family's 1533-position model. The record is from RNAcentral.
CAGUAGCCGCGGGAAUACAGAGGGUGCGAGCGUUAAUCGGAUUUACUGGGCGUAAAGCGUGCGUAGGCGGUUUGUUAAGUCUGCUGUGAAAUCCCCGGGCUUAACCUGGGAAUGGCAGUGGAUACUGGCAAGCUAGAGUGUGUCAGAGGAUGGUGGAAUUCCCGGUGUAGCGGUGAAAUGCGUAGAGAUCGGGAGGAACAUCAGUGGCGAAGGCGGCCAUCUGGGACAACACUGACGCUGAGGCACGAAAGCGUGGGGAGCAAACAGGAUUAGAUACCCCAGUAGUCCCUGUCUCUUAUAC